Molecule: long non-coding RNA, 246 nt
Filed under: Lathyrus oleraceus (garden pea)
Lineage: Eukaryota; Viridiplantae; Streptophyta; Magnoliopsida; Fabales; Fabaceae
Description: Pisum sativum (pea) long non-coding RNA (PSAT_LNC038549)
Source: RNAcentral
UAUAAAGAAAAGUGAGGUGAAGAAAUGUUAAUGUUUAUUUUUUAUUUUAUUUUUGCAUAAGCGAAAUAAAUAUAGCAAGAGUGAACAUGAAUGGAUUAAUUCAAAAGAUGCAUGUUCAUUUCAUUAAUCUUACCAUUCAGAAUAAACAAGUUUUGAAAGAAAAUAAGUUCUCAACAUGCAAGGAAAUUAUAAAUCAAAAAUCUCAAAUGAUCAGCAACAUCGAGGAUAUACUAUCAUGCUUGAUUC